UGCCCCCAAUACCACCCUGAAUGCGCCAGGUCUCGCCUGGUCUCUGAAGCUAAGAAGGGUGGGGCCUGGUUAUCACUUGGAUGGGAUGGUGA
Molecule: ribosomal RNA, 92 nt
Filed under: Jaculus jaculus (lesser Egyptian jerboa)
Lineage: Eukaryota; Metazoa; Chordata; Mammalia; Rodentia; Dipodidae
Source: RNAcentral